Xenopus laevis (African clawed frog) is the source of this 382-nucleotide long non-coding RNA. RefSeq lists it as uncharacterized. The record is from RefSeq and is a predicted model, not a curated record. The transcript has 3 exons. Lineage: Eukaryota; Metazoa; Chordata; Amphibia; Anura; Pipidae.
CACAGAGUUGAAACCAAGGCACAGGAGAUGUUUACACAAAGAAUUGUUACUACUGAGAGCUCUAGUAUAAAAUACGAAAAGCCAUAGAAAUGUGAAUCACUUUGCGGAGACAAGGCAAUAUGACAAUGGACAAUGAGGAUAGUCUGAUUUAGUGCAAAGCAAUCAGAAUUCAGUGGCAAGGUAUAAUUACAUUUGGAUUUUCUAGCAUCAAGCCAGUAACGGCAGAACCUUUGUUGAUCCUCCACUUAAACAAGACUAGAGACCCAACACAGAUUUAUAAUGACUUUGUAGCUGAAAGAUGUUUCAAUAAUGUAUAAUGAUGGCAAUUUCAUCAGGAAAAUAUUGAUAAUACCCAAGGAAAAUACAUCUCUCUGUUUUGCAA